CGCGGGCGACGGACGAUCGGACGAGGCGCGCGAGGCUCGGAGAUGCCACUUACUCCGGUGGCUUUUAAAAAGCUGCAGCUCGCGAUGGAGAGAUUCAAAACCCAGCCCGACGGAAAAGGAGAGGGGCAGGCUGAGCAGCUCCGUGCGCAGAGCCUCUUCAUCACAGCUCCCAGCUCCUCUGUCUCUCCAGGUGUGAGCUGAGCUCCGAACACAUGUGCGGUGAGGAGAGACCCUCCAGUGCGCAUGCAGGGACACACGAGCUUCGCAUGCUAUACCUCCUUCAUUCGACAAUCCAAGUAAAAGAAAAGGAUCUGAUAAGAUCCACAGGCUGAGCUCUCAUCUGUCUCCCAGGAUGAGACAUGUGGCAGUGGCACACUCUCCAGGUCAACUUGUGGCACCACCCUGACCAAACCAAUUGGUCAGAGCCAACACUUGACAUAAAUCUAGAAUUCAUAAUGUCAGACCCCUCAGAAACUUCAGCCCAGACAUUAAAGAGAGAUCCUCCCAAGAUUUAUUUUUUAAAUGUGAAUAUUUUUGCACAGUUUUUACAAAAAUUAUGAACCAUAGAUUCUGCUUUAAAACCUUCUGUGAACGCUCAUCAAUAAAGAUCUGUCAGGGAAA
Molecule: long non-coding RNA, 621 nt
Organism: Pleuronectes platessa (European plaice)
Lineage: Eukaryota; Metazoa; Chordata; Actinopteri; Pleuronectiformes; Pleuronectidae
Exons: 2
Source: RefSeq, a predicted model, not a curated record